GCAUUGCAUUGCACCAAUGAAACAAAAUUUAAACAUGGUAAACACAAAUUUACGUAGAUCCAUUUUCCUAACUAAAACGUUUUGUCACAAUUAAUGAACUUAAAAGAAAAGAAUCCAGAGUCCAUCCUCUCACCUCACACUGCAACACCCACACAAAAAGCAAAGGAAAGAGAUAAUAGAAUCCUAUGUGCUUUAAUUGCUUUAUCAUUAUUUUUGGGUGAAAAGACAACGGGGUUUUCCCCCUUGGAGUGGGCUUGGGCUAAAUUGGACUAUUAUCAAGCUUGGAAUUGACAUUUAAAGGAAGAAAGGGGCAACAGGAGGUCGUUUCACAAGUUAUUGUUUAUGAAGUCAAAG
RNAcentral lists this unclassified non-coding RNA (354 nucleotides) under Hevea brasiliensis (rubber tree). The record is from RNAcentral. Lineage: Eukaryota; Viridiplantae; Streptophyta; Magnoliopsida; Malpighiales; Euphorbiaceae.